ACAAUCUAUACGACAGCAGAGAUCCUGUAGACUGCACUGCAGAGCACAUCUAAAACAUGAGGACCACUUUCACCAUAAGGGGCAAAUUGUUGCUGCCCAUCUAUGUCGUUUGGAUCCUCUUCACUGCAGCUGAUGGCUCAUGUCGUGUAUGCCCACCCUGCUGUUUUCAGGGGUCAGACCGGAUCAAAGGGGAAAUCAUAAAGUGUUUUGAACAAACAGCAGGAGGACCCUGUUCAAAACAUUUCUUUCUAGUUACACUUAAAGGAGGGGGAGAAUAUUGCAUCAACCCAGAUUCACACUGGUUUAAAGAGAAGAAAAAGGAGGAAAAGCUUUUCUGCUCUGUAUACAAUGAGAAACCAUUCAUCAAAUCACCAGCUUCUUCAAGCAAAACCAAAGGAGGGACUGCCGUCUAGACGCCUACCUGUGAGGAAGCACAUGAACUGGCAACGAUAAAGGCAAGUUAAG
Cyprinodon tularosa is the source of this 465-nucleotide long non-coding RNA. RefSeq lists it as uncharacterized. The transcript is spliced from 5 exons. The record is from RefSeq and is a predicted model, not a curated record. Lineage: Eukaryota; Metazoa; Chordata; Actinopteri; Cyprinodontiformes; Cyprinodontidae.